Long non-coding RNA from Papaver somniferum (opium poppy), 1630 nucleotides. RefSeq lists it as uncharacterized. Lineage: Eukaryota; Viridiplantae; Streptophyta; Magnoliopsida; Ranunculales; Papaveraceae. The transcript is spliced from 2 exons. The record is from RefSeq and is a predicted model, not a curated record.
UCUAAUGGCAGUUUCAUUUUUUUUUUUCUGAUUUUUUAUAUUGUUGUCUAAUCAACAAUCUGUUGUAGCUUUGCAGGAAACCACUAACGCUGCAAAUGUUAUGUGAACGGGAUGGCCAAUAGAUAUUCAUGUGAAAGGUUAUUUCAAUGGAAUUUCUAAUAGAUUUUCACAUGGAAGAAAUCAAUAAUCUCUUUCUCUUUAAAAUCUUGGCAUAUGUACUAGAACCCAAUUUUUCUCUAAAUAAACGACCCACAAAAAUGUGAGAGAUCCACCUCUUAGUAUUUUUUUUUAAUUAUUGUCGUUAUUAUUUUCUUUUUCUCUCUCAUUCACAGAGAGAGAAAACAAUGGAAUCGUAGUGUUUUUUUCUUUCUAAAAGCAGGAAUCGCAGAGUUGAAGGAAAGAGAGAAACCGAUAUAAAAAGUUUUUCUAUAAAUAAGAUGGAUGGCGGCAAAGCAAGUUGAAUGUCCACCAAAGGAGGCAAGACCAUCUAAAAGUAUAUUUUUAUGUUUAUAUUUAUCAUUUAAAGUUAUUUCGGUGAUUCGUUUUCUGAUUCUUCUUAAAUUGAAUUUGAGUUAUUUUGAUAGAAUGCAGACGAUGUAGUGGUUUUUACUUUGGUUUGGUUUAGAAUCUACGCCAACAAAAAUAUUGCAACAAUUAAAUGUGGUUAACCCAAGAAAUAAUAAUUGCAGAUAUUUUUGGAUAUUGAAAUAAUAUUAUUUCCUAAACAGAGUCUGGGGUGCAUAUAAAGCAUUGAGCAAAAGCCAAAUUUCUCUUGCAGGUUUUACCACAGUUUAGAGCUUUGUUGGGUUUUUUUUCCUGUAUUUUUUGCGAUUUAGGUUUUCAUUGUCUCGUGUAUUUUUGUUGUUUCUUUUGCAAGCACAUUCAAAUAUGAUAUGAGGUCAUCUCUUUUUCGAGGAGGAAAAAAUAAAUAAAUCAAUUUGGCGCUAAAGGCUGCAGGGUUGCGGCUAUAGAAGGCAACCAGUACUGGAUCAAGAAUAAGAUUAUUUUUUUUGAAAAUAAUAUGCUCACUGCUCAGACAAGGUAAAACCAGAUAUAGCUUAUCUAUUACUUUUGUCUAUGUUUUAGUAUAUUAAUGAAUUUGUGGUAAUGAAAUCAUCCUGUUAUGGGCGAAUAUCUGGAUUGACUUGUGGAGGGAGGCAACGUGUGAAGUUUCCGUUUAAAGAGGAAGAAAAAUCCUUUGCUAGAAAUCCAUUCCUCCUGUGAGUUUUUUUUCUUUCUUUUCCAUAAGACUAAACCUAAAUAACAUUGUAACAAUUUUUCUGCAGAGCAAUAUGAGUAUUAUUUCACUUCGUACACCCGAUUUGAGGUUUGGGUCACAAUUCUGUGAGGAUGCACUUUAUUCAAGAAACAAAUUCAAUCACACGACUUAAAAAACAAAUCUCAGUCCUACAACGAUGACGGAUGGCCUAUGAUCCCUUUCCAAGCUGAAAAGGGAGUUUUUGGCAGCCGAUUCGUCUUAAGGAUUCAAGGUGGAUAAACAGGUGGAUUCUCUAAUGCUUCAAAAUUUCAAAUGAUAAAAGAUGUUGGGUCUGUUAAGAGUAUACGAGUUUCAAGUAGAACGAAAAUUUGUAAUCCUUAAAUGAAAUCUAUUUCUUGCUUUUACAUUUGA